GAUUAACGCUGGCGGCGUGCAUAACACAUGCAAGUCGAACGAUGAAACUUAGUAGACUUCUUCGGAAAGACACUAAGCGGAUUAGUGGCGAACGGGUGAGUAACGCGUGAGUAACCUGCCUUACACAAGGGGAUAGCCUUUGGAAACGAAGAAUAAUACCCUAUAAAACCAUAAAAGCACAUGCUAGAAUGGUCAAAGUGAUAGCGGUGUAAGAUGGACUUGCGUCUGAUUAGCUAGUUGGUGAGAUAAAAGCUCACCAAGGCAACGAUCAGUAGCCGGCUUGAGAGGGUGUACGGCCACAUUGGGACUGAGACACGGCCCAGACUCCUACGGGAGGCAGCAGUGGGGAAUUUUGCACAAUGGGGGAAACCCUGAUGCAGCGACGCCGCGUGAUUUAGAAGGCCUUCGGGUUGUAAAAAUCUUUUGUAUAGGAAGAAAAUGACAGUACUAUACGAAUAAGGUCCGGCUAAUUACGUG
Molecule: ribosomal RNA, 477 nt
Filed under: uncultured bacterium
Lineage: Bacteria
Description: partial 16S ribosomal RNA
Rfam family: Bacterial small subunit ribosomal RNA
Source: RNAcentral